UACGGGGGGGGCUAGCGUUGUUCGGAAUUACUGGGCGUAAAGCGCACGUAGGCGGCUUUGUAAGUUAGAGGUGAAAGCCCGGAGCUCAACUCCGGAACUGCCUUUAAGACUGCAUCGCUCGAAUCAUGGAGAGGUCAGUGGAAUUCCGAGUGUAGAGGUGAAAUUCGUAGAUAUUCGGAAGAACACCAGUGGCGAAGGCGACUGACUGGACAUGUAUUGACGCUGAGGUGCGAAAGCGUGGGGAGCAAACAGG
RNAcentral lists this ribosomal RNA (253 nucleotides) under uncultured bacterium. Its description in RNAcentral is "partial 16S ribosomal RNA". It matches the Rfam family "Bacterial small subunit ribosomal RNA", at positions 524 to 776 of the family's 1533-position model. The record is from RNAcentral.